CUCUCACCUAUGUGUAUAGGACCUCAAAAGAUCACCAUUAAAGUUGGCACGGAUUUCUAAAAAAGUUAUCACAUGAGUAUGAGACUUGACUUUUCUAUAGAUCCGUGCCAAAUUUAAUGGUGAUUUUUUAGGGUCCUAUACACAUGGGUGGGAG
RNAcentral lists this microRNA precursor (154 nucleotides) under Amborella trichopoda. RNAcentral describes it as "MIR8565 microRNA precursor family". It matches the Rfam family "MIR8565 microRNA precursor family". The record is from Rfam by way of RNAcentral. Lineage: Eukaryota; Viridiplantae; Streptophyta; Magnoliopsida; Amborellales; Amborellaceae.